UCUCAGUGAUGAAAACUUUGUCCAGCUAUGCUACUAACUUUAUGUGAUCAUGAACUAUAUCAAAGGGGA
Molecule: small nucleolar RNA, 69 nt
Organism: Prolemur simus (greater bamboo lemur)
Lineage: Eukaryota; Metazoa; Chordata; Mammalia; Primates; Lemuridae
Source: Ensembl